UUAAGCGACUAAGCGUACACGGUGGAUGCCCUGGCAGUCAGAGGCGAUGAAGGACGUGCUAAUCUGCGAAAAGCGUCGGUAAGGUGAUAUGAACCGUUACAGCCGGCGAUGUCCGAAUGGGGAAACCCAGUGCAAUUCGUUGCACUAUCGUUAACUGAAUACAUAGGUUAACGAGGCGAACCGGGGGAACUGAAACAUCUAAGUACCCCGAGGAAAAGAAAUCAACCGAGAUUCCCCCAGUAGCGGCGAGCGAACGGGGAGCAGCCCAGAGUCUGAAUCAGCUUGUGUGUUAGUGGAACGGUCUGGAAAGUCCGACGGUACAGGGUGAUAGUCCCGUACACCAAAAUGCACAGGUUGUGAACUCGAAGAGUAGGGCGGGACACGUGGUAUCCUGUCUGAAUAUGGGGGGACCAUCCUCCAAGGCUAAAUACUCCUGACUGACCGAUAGUGAACCAGUACCGUGAGGGAAAGGCGAAAAGAACCCCGGCGAGGGGAGUGAAAAAGAACCUGAAACCGUGUACGUACAAGCAGUGGGAGCACCUUCGGGUGUGACUGCGUACCUUUUGUAUAAUGGGUCAGCGACUUAUAUUCUGUAGCAAGGUUAACCGUAUAGGGGAGCCGCAGGGAAACCGAGUCUUAACUGGGCGUUAAGUUGCAGGGUAUAGACCCGAAACCCGGUGAUCUAGCCAUGGGCAGGUUGAAGGUUGGGUAACACUAACUGGAGGACCGAACCGACUAAUGUUGAAAAAUUAGCGGAUGACUUGUGGCUGGGGGUGAAAGGCCAAUCAAACCGGGAGAUAGCUGGUUCUCCCCGAAAGCUAUUUAGGUAGCGCCUCGUGAAUUCAUCUUCGGGGGUAGAGCACUGUUUCGGCUAGGGGGUCAUCCCGACUUACCAACCCGAUGCAAACUACGAAUACCGAAGAAUGUUAUCACGGGAGACACACGGCGGGUGCUAACGUCCGUCGUGAAGAGGGAAACAACCCAGACCGCCAGCUAAGGUCCCAAAGUCAUGGUUAAGUGGGAAACGAUGUGGGAAGGCACAGACAGCCAGGAUGUUGGCUUAGAAGCAGCCAUCAUUUAAAGAAAGCGUAAUAGCUCACUGGUCGAGUCGGCCUGCGCGGAAGAUGUAACGGGGCUAAACCAUGCACCGAAGCUGCGGCAGCGACACUAUGUGUUGUUGGGUAGGGGAGCGUUCUGUAAGCCUGCGAAGGUGUGCUGUGAGGCAUGCUGGAGGUAUCAGAAGUGCGAAUGCUGACAUAAGUAACGAUAAAGCGGGUGAAAAGCCCGCUCGCCGGAAGACCAAGGGUUCCUGUCCAACGUUAAUCGGGGCAGGGUGAGUCGACCCCUAAGGCGAGGCCGAAAGGCGUAGUCGAUGGGAAACAGGUUAAUAUUCCUGUACUUGGUGUUACUGCGAAGGGGGGACGGAGAAGGCUAUGUUAGCCGGGCGACGGUUGUCCCGGUUUAAGCAUGUAGGCUGGUUAUCCAGGCAAAUCCGGAUAAUCAAGGCUGAGGUGUGAUGACGAGGCACUACGGUGCUGAAGUAACAAAUGCCCUGCUUCCAGGAAAAGCCUCUAAGCAUCAGGUAACAUCAAAUCGUACCCCAAACCGACACAGGUGGUCAGGUAGAGAAUACCAAGGCGCUUGAGAGAACUCGGGUGAAGGAACUAGGCAAAAUGGUGCCGUAACUUCGGGAGAAGGCACGCUGGUGUGUAGGUGAAGCCCCUGCGGGUGGAGCUGAGACCAGUCGAAGAUACCAGCUGGCUGCAACUGUUUAUUAAAAACACAGCACUGUGCAAACACGAAAGUGGACGUAUACGGUGUGACGCCUGCCCGGUGCCGGAAGGUUAAUUGAUGGGGUUAUCCGUAAGGAGAAGCUCUUGAUCGAAGCCCCGGUAAACGGCGGCCGUAACUAUAACGGUCCUAAGGUAGCGAAAUUCCUUGUCGGGUAAGUUCCGACCUGCACGAAUGGCGUAAUGAUGGCCAGGCUGUCUCCACCCGAGACUCAGUGAAAUUGAACUCGCUGUGAAGAUGCAGUGUACCCGCGGCAAGACGGAAAGACCCCGUGAACCUUUACUAUAGCUUGACACUGAACAUUGAGCCUUGAUGUGUAGGAUAGGUGGGAGGCUUUGAAGCGUGGACGCCAGUCUGCGUGGAGCCAACCUUGAAAUACCACCCUUUAAUGUUUGAUGUUCUAACGUUGGCCCCUGACCGGGGUUGCGGACAGUGUCUGGUGGGUAGUUUGACUGGGGCGGUCUCCUCCCAAAGCGUAACGGAGGAGCACGAAGGUUAGCUAAUCCUGGUCGGACAUCAGGAGGUUAGUGCAAUGGCAUAAGCUAGCUUGACUGCGAGCGUGACGGCGCGAGCAGGUGCGAAAGCAGGUCAUAGUGAUCCGGUGGUUCUGAAUGGAAGGGCCAUCGCUCAACGGAUAAAAGGUACUCCGGGGAUAACAGGCUGAUACCGCCCAAGAGUUCAUAUCGACGGCGGUGUUUGGCACCUCGAUGUCGGCUCAUCACAUCCUGGGGCUGAAGUAGGUCCCAAGGGUAUGGCUGUUCGCCAUUUAAAGUGGUACGCGAGCUGGGUUUAGAACGUCGUGAGACAGUUCGGUCCCUAUCUGCCGUGGGCGCUGGAGAAUUGAGGGGGGCUGCUCCUAGUACGAGAGGACCGGAGUGGACGCAUCACUGGUGUUCGGGUUGUCAUGCCAAUGGCACUGCCCGGUAGCUAAAUGCGGAAGAGAUAAGUGCUGAAAGCAUCUAAGCACGAAACUUGCCCCGAGAUGAGUUCUCCCUGAGACUUUAAGUCUCCUGAAGGAACGUUGAAGACGACGACGUUGAUAGGCCGGGUGUGUAAGCGCAGCGAUGCGUUGAGCUAACCGGUACUAAUGAACCGUGAGGCUUAACCUU
Molecule: ribosomal RNA, 2900 nt
Filed under: Klebsiella pneumoniae
Lineage: Bacteria; Pseudomonadati; Pseudomonadota; Gammaproteobacteria; Enterobacterales; Enterobacteriaceae
Description: bacterial LSU rRNA
Rfam family: Bacterial large subunit ribosomal RNA
Source: RNAcentral